RNAcentral lists this ribosomal RNA (450 nucleotides) under uncultured bacterium. RNAcentral describes it as "bacterial SSU rRNA". It matches the Rfam family "Bacterial small subunit ribosomal RNA", at positions 354 to 796 of the family's 1533-position model. The record is from RNAcentral.
GUGGGGAAUUUUGCGCAAUGGGGGAAACCCUGACGCAGCGACGCCGCGUGGAGGAUGAAGGCCCUUGGGUCGUAAACUCCUGUCAGGUGGGAAGAAAAGCCUUCGGUAAACAGCCGAGGGUCUUGACUGUACCACCGGAGGAAGCCCCGGCUAACUCCGUGCCAGCAGCCGCGGUAAUACGGAGGGGGCAAGCGUUGUUCGGAAUCAUUGGGCGUAAAGGGCGCGUAGGCGGCCGAACAAGUCGGGUGUGAAAUCCCUCGGCUCAACCGAGGAACUGCACUCGAUACUGUUUGGCUAGAGUCCGGGAGGGGAUGGUGGAAUUCCCAGUGUAGCGGUGAAAUGCGUAGAUAUUGGGAAGAACACCGGUGGCGAAGGCGGCCAUCUGGACCGGCACUGACGCUGAGGCGCGAAAGCCAGGGGAGCGAAUGGGAUUAGAAACCCCGGUAGUCC